RNAcentral lists this ribosomal RNA (468 nucleotides) under uncultured bacterium. Its description in RNAcentral is "partial 16S ribosomal RNA". It matches the Rfam family "Bacterial small subunit ribosomal RNA", at positions 28 to 507 of the family's 1533-position model. The record is from RNAcentral.
GACGAACGCUGGCGGCGUGCUUAACACAUGCAAGUCGAACGGAAAGGCCCUGCUUUUGUGGGGUGCUCGAGUGGCGAACGGGUGAGUAACACGUGAGUAACCUGCCCUUGACUUUGGGAUAACUUCAGGAAACUGGGGCUAAUACCGGAUAGGAGCUCCUGUUGCAGGGUGGGGGUUGGAAAGUUUCGGCGGUUGGGGAUGGAUUCGCGGCUUAUCAGUUUGUUGGUGGGGUAGUGGCUUACCAAGGCUUUGACGGGUAGCCGGCCUGAGAGGGUGACCGGCCACAUUGGGACUGAGAUACGGCCCAGACUCCUACGGGAGGCAGCAGUGGGGAAUAUUGCACAAUGGGCGGAAGCCUGAUGCAGCAACGCCGCGUGCGGGAUGACGGCCUUCGGGUUGUAAACCGCUUUCGCCUGUGACGAAGCGUGAGUGACGGUAAUGGGUAAAGAAGCACCGGCUAACUACGUG